Molecule: long non-coding RNA, 494 nt
Organism: Zea mays
Lineage: Eukaryota; Viridiplantae; Streptophyta; Magnoliopsida; Poales; Poaceae
Exons: 3
Source: RefSeq, a predicted model, not a curated record
GAUUGAAUUUGACAUACUUGAGCUACUUGGCUGCAGAGAUUGGAUCCUCCCGUCCAGACAACCUGAUAGAACGACAGUGUAUAAGAACAGGGCUCUUAGGAUGCCUUUUGUCAAGUUGGGUCAUAACUCUACCCUGAGAAUUGAGAUAGAUGAUCAUGUGGUGCAAGAUAUUGAGUCCCUCAUCUUUGAUGACACACAUAACAAAUGGUAAGCGUCUCCGUGGAUGGAGCCUGAAGUAUAUUCAAAUUCAAGGCAUGCCACAAAGCAUCUCGCGUGUGGGAUGCUCCGGCGUGUGGAAAGUAGAAAAGCCAAAUAAAUGGGUACAUGUACAGCAGGCGUGAGUUCUUAAAUACUCAGAUUCCUUGUCCAUAGGAAAAUGCAUAGUUCAUACGAAUCAGAGUGCACGAUGCACGCAACUUGACGUCUCUACCGUUGUUUUCAACAUGAUGAACAUGCGAAUUUCGUGGUAUUAAUUGGGACCGUCUGAUUUCUCA